Non-coding RNA from Pelobates cultripes (western spadefoot toad), 1362 nucleotides. Lineage: Eukaryota; Metazoa; Chordata; Amphibia; Anura; Pelobatidae. The record is from the annotation of a GenBank genome assembly.
CUACAAAACAAAAAGCACAAGAUACAACGUGAAUUCUAGAAGCAAGCACGUGGCAGAGAUUGGCAAUCAUCCAGAGCCAAGUCCAGAACUGCGCAGCUGUGUGGAUGAAGCAACGAAUUAGACAGAAAUAAAUGAUCUGGUGAGUAACAUGGAAUUCAUAAAUGAUAUUGCAGAGAAAAGUAAAUUGCAGUUUGCAUUUAAUAGCAGCUAUUCAGAUGCUGUUUUGUGGCAAUCUUUAUACACACAAUGUGAAAUUGCCAAUAAAUUGUUUGUUAAUUAGAAAAAACAAAAGAUCAGAAAUGUUAUGAAACUACUCUGUACUUACAAUGCAUUGAUUUGUAAACGAGAUGCAGGUCAAGACAAUUUAGAAUUAGCAGAAAAAGAAGUAGAUUUGAAUGGGUUAACAGAAGACAAAUCAGAUUUAAAUGAACAGUGUAACAAUGUAACAGAGAGCACAUGCUGUAAACAGUCAGAAACAGUCUGUGAAUUGGAGGAUAGAUUUGAACUAAGAAAUGAUCUUAUUUGCCAGUUUAGAAAUUAAGUUAAGCUAGUGUGUGUUAAUACAAGAAAAAUACAGUAACUCCAAUCAUUUUAAAGAAGGAAAAAACAAUAGAUUUAUUCUUUGUUGCUUCUGAGGUUGAUUUAAAAUCUUUGAUUUAAUUCAUGAGAAUGAGAUUUUAAUGCCAUGACUGAUAAUUGUAUUACUAUAUUUUGCAAAGCCUGGACAUACAUAUGAUUUGAAUAUAUAUAAGACAAAAGUUUUGAUAGAAUAAAACCUAGAUUUACAAAUACAUUUGAUGUAGGAAACAAUAUAUGUUUUUUGUAGUUUGUUUCAUGUGACAAAAUGGUGCCACUGUUAAGACAAGAUGGCUGCUAUUGCUAAAGUAUAGUGGAAAACAAUAUUUAGUUGUAACAUCUGAUAUGUGAUUAGGUUAUACCUCUAUAUUAUUAAACAGUUUAAAGUGGGGUAUGAUUAAUAAGGUAUGAUUAAUACAAAGUUUGAAAAUUAAAAUGUGUAGAAAGAGAUUUUAAUAUAAAGGAAAUUUAAAGAUUAUACAUCACAUGGCAUAAAUGCAAUGACCACAAGAUGGUAGAUCUCAUGAGAAGAAAUGAGUAUGUUUUGUGUAGUCAAUAUAAUUCAAUGUUAAACUGUAUAAUAAUAAUGAGAUAUAAACAUUGUAAGCCAUUGUAUUGAUGCUGCACAUGUUUUUUGUUUUAAUGUAGGUAAAGCGUGACAGAUCCUUGUGGCAGUAAAUCAGGAAAGUAUUCCUUCAGACAACUGGAUAUCGACUGUUGGAAAGAGACUUUUCAUCUGAUCUGCAAACUGUGAUGGAAGAUUCUACAGAGUUCAUUCGAUACAGA